Molecule: ribosomal RNA, 313 nt
Filed under: uncultured bacterium
Lineage: Bacteria
Description: bacterial SSU rRNA
Rfam family: Bacterial small subunit ribosomal RNA
Source: RNAcentral
GAUGAACGCUGGCGGCAUGCCUAACGCAUGCAAGUCGAACGAAGCACUUGAGUAGCUUGCUAUGAGAGUGACUUAGUGGCGAACGGGUGAGUAAUGCAUGAGCAACCUGCCCUUCAGUGGGGGACAACAGUUGGAAACGACUGCUAAUACCGCAUAACACUUUUUUAAGGCAUCUUAGAGAAGUCAAAGAUUUAUCGGUAACGGAUGGGGAUGCGUGACAUUAGGUAGAUGGCGGGGUAACGGCCCACCAUGCCUACGAUGUCUAGGGGUUCUGAGAGGAAGGUCCCCACACUGGAACUGAGACACGGUCCAG